AUGAUUGAUCCCGCCUAGGCCCCAGAGC
RNAcentral lists this non-coding RNA (28 nucleotides) under Rattus norvegicus (Norway rat). The record is from RNAcentral. Lineage: Eukaryota; Metazoa; Chordata; Mammalia; Rodentia; Muridae.